CGCUAAAGGCCGUGAUCUUUAGCGGCGUUUGUGUAAAAGCGCCGCUAAAGGUCAUGACUUUUAGCGG
Molecule: microRNA precursor, 67 nt
Filed under: Gossypium raimondii (Peruvian cotton)
Lineage: Eukaryota; Viridiplantae; Streptophyta; Magnoliopsida; Malvales; Malvaceae
Description: miR7492h stem-loop (gra-MIR7492h)
Source: miRBase by way of RNAcentral